GAGUUUGAUCCUGGCUCAGGACGAACGCUGGCGGCGUGCUUAACACAUGCAAGUCGAACGGAAAGGCCCCGCUCGCGGGGUACUCGAGUGGCGAACGGGUGAGUAACACGUGGGUGAUCUGCCCUGCACUUCGGGAUAAGCCUGGGAAACUGGGUCUAAUACCGGAUAUGACCUCCCUUUAGUGUGGGGGGUGGAAAGAUUUAUCGAUGCAGGAUGAGCCCGCGGCCUAUCAGCUUGUUGGUGGGGUAAUGGCCUACCAAGGCGUCGACGGGUAGCCGGCCUGAGAGGGUGGACGGCCACAUUGGGACUGAGAUACGGCCCAGACUCCUACGGGAGGCAGCAGUGGGGAAUAUUGCACAAUGGGCGGAAGCCUGAUGCAGCGACGCCGCGUGGGGGAUGACGGCCUUCGGGUUGUAAACCUCUUUCGACAGGGACGAAGUGAAAAUGACGGUACCUGUAUAAGAAGCACGGGCUAACUACGUGCCAGCAGCCGCGGUAAUACGUAGGGUGCGAGCGUUGUCCGGAAUUACUGGGCGUAAAGAGCUCGUAGGUGGUUUGUCACGUCGUCUGUGAAAUUCCGGGGCUUAACCUCGGGCGUGCAGGCGAUACGGGCAAUACUUGAGUGCUGUAGGGGAGACUGGAAUUCCUGGUGUAGCGGUGAAAUGCGCAGAUAUCAGGAGGAACACCAAUGGCGAAGGCAGGUCUCUGGGCAGUUACUGACGCUGAGGAGCGAAAGCAUGGGUAGCGAACAGGAUUAGAUACCCUGGUAGUCCAUGCCGUAAACGGUGGGCGCUAGGUGUAGGGGACUUCCACGUUCUCUGUGCCGUAGCUAACGCAUUAAGCGCCCCGCCUGGGGAGUACGGCCGCAAGGCUAAAACUCAAAGGAAUUGACGGGGGCCCGCACAAGCGGCGGAGCAUGUGGAUUAAUUCGAUGCAACGCGAAGAACCUUGCCUGGGCUUGACAUACACCGGACCGGCGUAGAGAUACGUCUUCCCUUGUGGCCGGUGUACAGGUGGUGCAUGGUUGUCGUCAGCUCGUGUCGUGAGAUGUUGGGUUAAGUCCCGCAACGAGCGCAACCCUUGUCUUAUGUUGCCAGCACGUGAUGGUGGGGACUCAUGAGAGACUGCCGGGGUCAACUCGGAGGAAGGUGGGGAUGACGUCAAAUCAUCAUGCCCCUUAUGUCCAGGGCUUCACACAUGCUACAAUGGUCGGUACAGCAGGUCGCGAACUCGUGAGAGUAAGCCAAUCCUUCAAAGCCGGCCUCAGUUCGGAUUGGGGUCUGCAACUCGACCCCAUGAAGUCGGAGUCGCUAGUAAUCGCAGAUCAGCAACGCUGCGGUGAAUACGUUCCCGGGCCCCUUGUACACACCGCCCGUC
RNAcentral lists this ribosomal RNA (1377 nucleotides) under uncultured bacterium. Its description in RNAcentral is "bacterial SSU rRNA". It matches the Rfam family "Bacterial small subunit ribosomal RNA". The record is from RNAcentral.